CCAUGCUCAAAUUAUAUAAAAAUCAUAAAAUAUUCUGCCUUUUGAAGUCUCAAAGUACCCCCAUGGUUCCCCAACAAUAAAUCUGAUAUGGACUUAAAAACUGCACAAUGUAUGAAAAUAAACAUAAAAUUUGCUGACCCCUUGCAUACAUUAACACAUACCAGUCAUAGACAAAUGAUACUACUGACUAAAUUCCUGAAGCCCUUAACAUUUCUGAAACAAAACCUGAAAUCUUAGACAUUGAUAGACAUUAAGAUGCUCAGUUCUUGUGAGAUGUGUAGGAAAUUCAGGGUCUUCUCUAAUCAAUCCUAAUAGGUACUCAUCUAGAGCUUCAUAAACCUUGUAUUUUAAAACUAAAUAAAGAACCCGGCCAUGUUUUCAUUUGGAAAACAUACGAUUCCAAACAAACUUGAUGCAGUAUCACAGAAUGGAAGGGAUGUAAGUUUUCCCUAGGUAACCCAAGAACUAAACAUUUACUAGGAGAAAUUUUAGGUGCCUACCGCCAACAAGUAUUCACGUGCUGGAUUUUAUUGAGAUUAUCCCUGCAGUUAUUUGAUAUCAGUCAGGUUCAAUACCCCUCUGCUAAUGAGGUAGCAUGAGUCUACCUCUUAAACCCAAAAGAAGCUAUUGUUAUUUGAGUUUAUCCCUCAAAACAUGAUUGCCCAUAGGAAUCAUCCAUUUUUUCAUAUUGAGAAACCACCAUAUCCAGCCAUAUGUUCAUUGUUAAGCCUUCAUAAUUUAACUCAACUAUCCAACUUGAAAGCUUAAUUAUCCAACUUCAAAACAUUGCCAAUUUUUGGAUGAAUCAGUGAUCCAACUUAGGG
This 824-nucleotide long non-coding RNA is filed under the name Elaeis guineensis (African oil palm). RNAcentral describes it as "long non-coding RNA (EGUI_LNC078524)". The record is from RNAcentral. Lineage: Eukaryota; Viridiplantae; Streptophyta; Magnoliopsida; Arecales; Arecaceae.